AUUGAACGCUGGCGGCAGGCUUAACACAUGCAAGUCGAGCGGAGACUUCGGUCUUAGCGGCGAACGGGUGAGUAAUACCUAGGAAUCUGCCUAUUAGUGGGGGAUAACGGCUCGAAAGGGUCGCUAAUACCGCAUACGUCCUACGGGAGAAAGUGGGGGAUCUUCGGACCUCACGCUAAUAGAUGAGCCUAGGCCGGAUUAGCUAGUUGGUAGGGUAAAGGCCUACCAAGGCGACGAUCCGUAGCUGGUCUGAGAGGAUGAUCAGCCACACUGGAACUGAGACACGGUCCAGACUCCUACGGGAGGCAGCAGUGGGGAAUAUUGGACAAUGGGCGCAAGCCUGAUCCAGCCAUGCCGCGUGUGUGAA
Molecule: ribosomal RNA, 367 nt
Filed under: uncultured bacterium
Lineage: Bacteria
Description: bacterial SSU rRNA
Rfam family: Bacterial small subunit ribosomal RNA
Source: RNAcentral